RNAcentral lists this long non-coding RNA (1082 nucleotides) under Citrus sinensis (sweet orange). RNAcentral's name for it is "long non-coding RNA (CSIN_LNC005199)". The record is from RNAcentral. Lineage: Eukaryota; Viridiplantae; Streptophyta; Magnoliopsida; Sapindales; Rutaceae.
CAGCCCUCUGGAGCAAGGCCUGCCUCGUUAAUUAUGUAACAGAGGUGGAAUUUUGUCCACAGAUUUUUAUGAUAAGAAAUUACAAACUUUCACGUUAUUUUCGUCUAAACAAAUUUUAUGAGUUAAGUUUUUUUUUUCUCUACAGUAUGGAUAUAGAUUCUAACAUUUCUUUGUUCCAACUAUAUGCUGCAUACAGGAUGACGAAGAUGAUGAUGUCAAUGAUGCUCGAGAUGCCGGAAUGGCUGCAAAGAGUAACAAAUAUGCAAUUUCAAAUGUGUUACAUUUAGUAGUACUUCCUUCAAUGCUAUCUUAUAUUUGGAGCUUCUUUAAAAAUUUUCAUUGGUCACAUGCUCGUAUGAAAAAUUUCUGAUUAAUAAUAUAUAAAAUCAUGAAAACAUAGGCCCAGUUGUUUAAUAUGUUCUUGCUUUCCUUUUCCCAAAUGGUAUUAUAUAUAUAUUUUUUGGUUGCCUCUGCUAUUUGCAAAUCUUUUACCUCUUCAGAUAUCGCAGAAUCAUCAAGUCGGUGUAAUGGAAAUGUUAAAAGUAAUAGCUCCUUGAGCUGAAGGGAGUCUUUAGCUGCAUUGCUCCAAUGCCUGAGAAAGUGAACAAACUUUGAAACCAGUGAACAGGUACUGCUUUGCUUUUAAAUUCCUGAAAUUAUGCUGCUUACUGACAAUUUCAUAUCUCAUUCUCCACUUUCAUCAACUCCUCUGACAUAUGUUUAUUGCACAGAAAAGACAAAUAGGUUCAGCUAAGUUCAGCGGAAUUCUAUUAGGGAUUUGCACAGAAAAGACAAAUAGGUUCAGCUAAGUUCAGUGGAAUUCUAUUAGGGAUUGCCUUGUUAAUUAAUUUAUUUUUUUUUAUUGUUUUUCCAAAUAAUAAGUGGUUGCCAAUUGCGUUAAUUUGUUCCUAUGCAUCAGCCAAAUGCUAGAAAAUUAGGAGGCCAAACUGAAGCCUAUUGCUUUCUCAAUUGCAACCCUUUUAUUUAUUUAUUUUUUUAAAAAUUGUGAUCGUCUCAUAAUUUAAAUAAAAUCAAUAAUAUACCCACAAAGAAUAUUGUAUGACACCACAGACAAUAUUCAC